GGUUAAGUGAAUAAGGGCGCACGGUGGAUGCCUUGGCACUAGGAGCCGAUGAAGGACGGGACUAACACCGAUAUGCUUUGGGGAGCUGUACGUAAGCUAUGAUCCAGAGAUUUCCGAAUGGGGGAACCCAACAUCUUUAAUAGGAUGUUACGAUUGUGUGAAUACAUAGCACAUUCGAGGUAGACGCAGAGAACUGAAACAUCUAAGUACCUGCAGGAAGAGAAAGAAAAUUCGAUUCCCUGAGUAGCGGCGAGCGAAACGGGAAAAGCCCAAACCAGCAAGCUUGCUUGUUGGGGUUGUAGGACUCCAAUAUGGUAGUUCUUUCAGAUAGUCGAAUGACUUGGAAAAGUCAGUCAAAGAGGGUAAAAACCCCGUAGACGAAAUGUGGAAGACACCUAGGAGGAUCCUGAGUACGGCGGAACACGAGAAAUUCCGUCGGAAUCCGGGAGGACCAUCUCCCAAGGCUAAAUACUCCCUAGUGACCGAUAGUGAACCAGUACCGUGAGGGAAAGGUGAAAAGCACCCCGGAAGGGGAGUGAAAUAGAACCUGAAACCGUGUGCCUACAACAAGUCAAAGCCCGUUAAUGGGUGAUGGCGUGCCUUUUGUAGAAUGAACCGGCGAGUUACGAUUGCAUGCGAGGUUAAGUUGAAGAGACGGAGCCGCAGCGAAAGCGAGUCUGAAUAGGGCGUUUGAGUAUGUAGUCGUAGACCCGAAACCAUGUGAUCUACCCAUGUCCAGGUUGAAGGUGCGGUAAAACGCACUGGAGGACCGAACCCACGUACGUUGAAAAGUGCGGGGAUGAGGUGUGGGUAGCGGAGAAAUUCCAAACGAACUUGGAGAUAGCUGGUUCUCUCCGAAAUAGCUUUAGGGCUAGCCUCGGAAUUGAGAAUGAUGGAGGUAGAGCACUGUUUGGACUAGGGGCCCAUCUCGGGUUACCGAAUUCAGAUAAACUCCGAAUGCCAUUCAUUCAUAUCCGGGAGUCAGACUGUGAGUGAUAAGAUCCAUAGUCGAAAGGGAAACAGCCCAGACCACCAGCUAAGGUCCCAAAAUAUAUGUUAAGUGGAAAAGGAUGUGGGGUUGCACAGACAACUAGGAUGUUGGCUUAGAAGCAGCCACCAUUUAAAGAGUGCGUAAUAGCUCACUAGUCGAGUGACCCUGCGCCGAAAAUGUACCGGGGCUAAACAUAUUACCGAAGCUGUGGAGUACACCUUUAGGUGUAUUGGUAGGAGAGCGUUCUAAGGGCGUUGAAGGCAGAUCGUGAGGACUGCUGGAGCGCUUAGAAGUGAGAAUGCCGGUAUGAGUAGCGAAAGACAGGUGAGAAUCCUGUCCACCGAAUGACUAAGGUUUCCUGGGGAAGGCUCGUCCGCCCAGGGUUAGUCGGGACCUAAGCCGAGGCCGAUAGGCGUAGGCGAUGGAUAACAGGUUGAUAUUCCUGUACCCGUUGUUUUUGUUUGAGCAAUGGAGGGACGCAGGAGGCUAAGGAAUGCAGACGAUUGGAAAUGUCUGUCCAAGCAGUAAGUCUGAAGAGGAGUCAAAUGCUUCUUUUCUUAAGGACAAGCUGUGAUGGGGAGGGAAAUAAUAGUACCGAAGUUCCUGAUGUCACACUGCCGAGAAAAGCUUCUAGUGAGAAAACAGCGGCCCGUACCGCAAACCGACACAGGUAGUCGAGGAGAGAAUCCUAAGGUGAGCGAGAGAACUCUCGUUAAGGAACUCGGCAAAAUGACCCCGUAACUUCGGGAGAAGGGGUGCUGAUCAUACGAUCAGCCGCAGUGAAUAGGCCCAAGCGACUGUUUAUCAAAAACACAGGUCUCUGCAAAAUCGUAAGAUGAAGUAUAGGGGCUGACGCCUGCCCGGUGCUGGAAGGUUAAGAGGAGUGCUUAGCGCAAGCGAAGGUACGAAUUGAAGCCCCAGUAAACGGCGGCCGUAACUAUAACGGUCCUAAGGUAGCGAAAUUCCUUGUCGGGUAAGUUCCGACCCGCACGAAAGGCGUAACGAUUUGGGCACUGUCUCAACGAGAGACUCGGUGAAAUUUUAGUACCUGUGAAGAUGCAGGUUACCCGCGACAGGACGGAAAGACCCCAUGGAGCUUUACUGUAGUUUGAUAUUGAGUGUCUGUACCGCAUGUACAGGAUAGGUAGGAGCCGUAGAAAUCGGAACGCUAGUUUCGAUGGAGGCGCUGGUGGGAUACUACCCCUGCGCUAUGGC
Molecule: ribosomal RNA, 2206 nt
Filed under: Enterococcus faecium
Lineage: Bacteria; Bacillati; Bacillota; Bacilli; Lactobacillales; Enterococcaceae
Description: partial 23S ribosomal RNA
Rfam family: Bacterial large subunit ribosomal RNA
Source: RNAcentral